ACAUAGAACAUGCGUAUUUGCUGUGACAUGAUAAAGCUCAAGGCCAGAGAUGUCUUGUGGGGCUCCCAAGUACUCCAACCUCAAGGAGGGCAUGUGGCAAAGCAUGGCAGGGAAUACUUUCAAAAGUGGAAUCCAGGAAGAAAAUUCCUUGGGAAACUUUGGACUGGAUUCUCAACAAACCCUUCAGAGAGACUUAAAGCUGGUAAAAGACCUUUUGCAAAAGUGAUCCCGGGGAGCCUCCACUUUGUUUCUCUGGAUAUUUCUCUGUUGAAAUAUAGGUGUCAAGCAUGUCCCAUUUUAGAUGCUCUUCAGACUUCAAAACAUUACCUUCCUGCUUUCAGGGAGCCAUUUCAUCAGCUUUUGUACUGUGUAUUCACUGCGGACCCUGCUGUUAUGCAAGGUACCACCAUGGCUAAAAAUUCACAAGACCAUUCUUAUUUGCACUGAUUUUUUUUUUUUUUUUUUUUUGAUCUGUCACAAUGUUGCUGCUUCCGUUUCAAAAACGUCUCAAAGCUUUGAUUUGAUUGCAGCUGGAUUCAAGGAUACCCAAAGCCAAGUUUGAUCCUGAAUUCCCCAAAUCAAAAGUAUUUCAUUUCAGAUGUAUGUUCUAUACCUGGCCAUAAUAAUGAACAGCAACCAUUACUAGAGCAUGCUUUUGAUUUUUUUUUAUUAACAGUCAUUUUUAUGAUUUGGAAACAUAAUUAGAAGAUUCCUAUUCCAGACUACAAAUCAAUGGAUUUGAUUCUACUACACAUUUGCCAAUAAAGAGCAAUGGUAUCAAAUGAA
Long non-coding RNA from Pan troglodytes (chimpanzee), 786 nucleotides. RefSeq lists it as uncharacterized. The transcript has 2 exons. Lineage: Eukaryota; Metazoa; Chordata; Mammalia; Primates; Hominidae. The record is from RefSeq and is a predicted model, not a curated record.